UACAGAGGGGGCAAGCGUUGUUCGGAAUUACUGGGCGUAAAGGGCUCGUAGGUGGCCAACUAAGUCAGACGUGAAAUCCCUCGGCUUAACCGGGGAACUGCGUCUGAUACUGGAUGGCUGGAGAUUGGGAGAGGGAUGCGGAAUUCCCGGUGUAGUGGUGAAAUGCGUAGAUAUCGGGAGGAACACCAGUGGCGAAGGCGACUUCUUGGCCUGUUCUUGACGCUGAGGCGCGAAAGCUGGGGGAGCAAACGGG
RNAcentral lists this ribosomal RNA (253 nucleotides) under uncultured bacterium. Its description in RNAcentral is "partial 16S ribosomal RNA". It matches the Rfam family "Bacterial small subunit ribosomal RNA", at positions 524 to 776 of the family's 1533-position model. The record is from RNAcentral.